Molecule: ribosomal RNA, 332 nt
Filed under: uncultured Planctomycetota bacterium
Lineage: Bacteria; Pseudomonadati; Planctomycetota
Description: bacterial SSU rRNA
Rfam family: Bacterial small subunit ribosomal RNA
Source: RNAcentral
AACGAACGUUGGCGGCGUGGAUUAGGCAUGCAAGUCGAGCGAGGACUGUUUUUGUAGCAAUACAAGAGCAGAGCCGAGCGGCGAAAGGGCAGUAAGGCAUGGGUAACCUACCUCGGGGACCGGGAUAGUCAUUCUAACGAGUGGGUAAUACCGGGCGAUUUGACGGAGUCGCAUGGCUCUGUCAGGAAAUGAAUUUCGCCUCGGGAGGGGCUCAUGUGGUAUUAGCUAGUUGGUAGGGUAAUGGCCUACCAAGGCAAAGAUGCCUAGCUGGUGUGAGAGCACGACCAGCGCCACUGGCACUGAGACACUGGCCAGACACCUACGGGUGGCUG